This is a long non-coding RNA of Terrapene triunguis (Three-toed box turtle), 430 nucleotides long. RefSeq lists it as uncharacterized. The record is from RefSeq and is a predicted model, not a curated record. The transcript has 3 exons. Lineage: Eukaryota; Metazoa; Chordata; Testudines; Emydidae.
CUAUACACACAGUGUGCAGCUUGGCUGUAAGGAGUGGGUGCUUGCAAGGCAUCAGUGGGCCCAUGAAAAUGAGCUUCCCACCACUUGCUGUGCUAUGCUUGCUGGCUUGGUUUGUCGCAUUCAACAUUGAAUAAUGCUGGUGCCUGCCUAUGAAGGUAUGGUGUACAGAGCAGAGAAACAACACAGGGGAGAGGCUAUCUCAGCAUCCCAGAUGAGUUGCCCAACUUGCUACCUAAUUCUUCUGAGAAUGUUAAUCCAGAUGAUCUCAUUGGUCCACCAAGCAACAACCCUCUUUCCAGUCCCUAGUUGAGACUCACUUCUUCAGUUGUGCCCUCAAGAAAUGAGCAAACAAUUAUAUCUACGUUACUCCGGGGGGGAAUUCUGUGCCAAAAAAUUAUGCGCACAAUAUUUUAAAAUUCUGCAAAAUUCU